AUAAUGCUGUCCCCUACAGGGCGGGAUUGGGAUCAAACUGAUUCAAAUGUUCUAAUCUAGAACAACAUACUCUCGCGAGAUUUGGUAUAGAUCUCUGUUUGACCCGGUUUGACCUGACUUGAGAGAAACAUCACAGCGCAAGAACAACUAAAAGUAAGUAAAUUGUUUUUGUUUUCCUAAAUUAUGCGCUCUUACCACAUACAAGGUAGGAUUCGUUCUACUACAGUAACGUCACUGCGUUGCAUAAAAAUGAUAUAAAUAUAUUCAACCACGUCCGCGAUCACCUAGCUAAGAUGCCUAGCCACACCUAGCUAAAACAUGUAUGUUUACUGAUACAUAAAGCGUUACAUAUAACCCCCCCCCCUUCCCCCCAAACCGUUCUCGAUCAUUCUAUCCUACUUACUGAAGUUACCUAGUCUUAAUAAACAGUUAUAUAUUAUUUCUAGUAACAUUUAAUGCUCCAAUAGCGACGUAUUGGGUGCUGUACAGCUGCAUGUUGGGAUAGCUAGAUGUCUAAACAACUGAAGCGUUGGUUGCUUUGUGUUGUGAGUUUGUUAAACUGCAGAAAAUGGUACACUUUUGCUGCCAUGCUAACCUUCACAAGAAGGCAAAAAGGUUAAAAGUAGGCUGGAGUCACGGUAAUCGUAUUUGGCCGUUUAUUUUGAUGGAGAAAUCUUAAGGCUGUUGGUCAUACUGACAGACUGUAAUUACCCCGACGCAUGCAUGUGUGAAGACAUUUUAAACGUUAUGCACAGAGACUGCGGAGGUAACAACAAUCAAGUAAAGAUUCGCAUCUGAGCGUUGUCUCAAACGUGGACACCUUGAUCAGUGCAGCUCGCUAUCAGCACGCUGAGGAGCUGUAGAGAGCAUCUCGGAGCAUGUCUGAUAGCCUGCCAGUCUCUCUCUGUUUAAUUCUGCACAGAGACUGAGUCAGACUCCAGAACCAGACCACAGCAGGUAAAAUCUUCCUUCUUUAAGUGAAAUCAUUUAAUUGUGGCAUUAUUAUGUUACUGGACACGCUGGCCAGCUUGUUUAGAGUAAAUAUAAUAGAAAAAUGUAUGAAAAUUAAAUUGUGAAUUUUUAUAUUAUUUGAGAGAUGAAAAUGAUUGUAGAAAAGGAUCAAGACCGUUUUUUUACAAUUAUUAAAACUAAACAAAGUAAGAUAUCAUAAAACAAAUGAAAGAUGAUUACAAAUUCCAAUUAGAUAUAAGAAAACAAAAGAUUUUGGUAAAAGCAGCUUUAACUAAAAGUGUUUUAAGCUGUUUUUAAUGGUGUCCAGACUGUUAAUACUACUUAAUAGGGUUGCAUUGGUACCCUAAAAUCCUAAUCAGUUCGGUCAGUGUUUUUAAGGGCUCGGUUCAAUCAAUUUUAGGAAUAUUAUUAUUAUAUCUAUUUAUGUAAUAUUUAAAGUGGCUCCUACAGUGAGCAGAAUGAGGUGUCAUCACAGGCUGCUGAUCUAGCAUGAUGUCUUUAAUUAUUUGACAGGUUAUUUUUGCAGCUAUGAGGGUCACGUUCAUACAAACAAGUGUUGUGUUUGACUUUUGAUGGUCCGUGUUUUUAUUUCUGCAGCGAGCCUUACAAACUCAACUCACACCACCCAGAGUUUCUUCUUUAAAAGUUGUAUAAAAUAAUGUGCUUCCUCGGCAUUUUUUGUUGUAGGAUGAAAACUUUACAUCAGUUUUUCCAGGGAAAAGGUUUGGCUGAUGUGUUUGUUUACAUUUAGCCGCUGCAGACCUGCAGUGUGAGAAGGGACAGAGGGGCAGCGCGACACUCCGUUAAGCGUCUUUACAGGCUCCAGUAGCAGCGACAGCCAGCUGGUUUGAUCUGCUCUGAAAGGCGUUAAUCAGAAUUAGCAGAUCACAUUUCUUAAACGGAGAUCGGGCACAUGCAGCCAUCAUGCAUCACUAAAUACAGCGGCUGUGCGGAAACUCGCCUGGGAACUUUUAUCUGCUGCACUUAAAUCACACAAUAAAAAUGCAUUAUUGUACGAAAAAAAUAAACUGAAACGGUACGCAAGUGGACUGAGCUGAAACGGUUAAACGUUUCAUUAUUGAGGUAAACUCCUCAAUAUAUUGUGAUAUUGAUUUUAGGCCACAUCGCCCAGCCCUACCUCGUAGAGACCUGAAUUGACACUUGCUAGAAAGUAUAUUUUUGUUUAUUAAAGAUUUGAUUAGAUGUAAACCCCUUUACUGAACAAAGACUUGAUGCUUCAUUAUAAAAUAUUUUAACUUUUACAAAAAGUUCCACUGUAUAUUCCAGUAACUUGUGUCUGUUUUUAUAUAGGAUUAGGGUGUCAAAUGACCAGACGAAAACCUGGAAAACGAUGGAGGAGGACCAGUAAUGAAGAUGGCUCAAAUAAACGACCAAGAAGGAUUUCACAAUUGUCAUCUCUUUUUGCAGCCACUAAUGUUCAUGUGGAGACUGAUGAGCAAUCUUUAAGUAGGGAAGCACAGCAGAAGGGUUUGCCUCCUGGAGGAGACCAAAACACUCCACUUGAAAAGGAACCUAUCCAACCACCAAAUAUCCAUGCAGGAUGUGCCCCACUCUCUCUGAACUAUCAAGUCUCUCACCGAUUGCCAGGUACACUCAUCCUCUUUUGUCUGCCUGUCUCUUCAUCCAAGGAUGCACAGUAUUUUUUGUCAAUGGGUAGAUUCAGCUAGUAUAGACCCUUUUACUACCUACGUCAUCAAAAGUUGCGCGCGCAGCCUGGCAACGAGAGUGAAGGCUUCCUCAUUCACACUCGAUAGUAAAACAGCGUUUUAAACCCUUUGUUUUGAAGUUCUGAGCACAUAAAAAUGUCGGGUUGUUGCGUGUAUGGAUGCCAGAAUCGCUUCUCUUCAAGCAGUGGACUGAAACUUUACAGAAUUCCGAAGGGAGCACAUCCAUUUCAACAAAAUCGGAGGCGUCUGUGGCUGCAGGCCAUCAAAAGGGUUGAUGAAAACUGGACUGAAAACACGAUCCGAAAUGCUCGAGUUUGUAGCGCCCAUUUUAUAUCAGGUAAGGUAAUAAUGUACUAGGAUUACACCAGAAAGCUGGUUAACGUAUGUUCUAUUAAAUAAGUCUGGAACAUCAAAAUGACAAAAUUAAACAAAUGUAUACGCUUUAUUUCAUGCUUCAAAUUAACAUUUCAUUCUAAUUCAUCUGUAUUUUCCCACUGCAUAUUAGUAUAAACUGUAUUUCUCUAAAAAUAAACACGAUUGUACUCUGAGCACGCUAAAAAAGAAACCUAUGCUAUACUCACCCUGCCAUGCAGGUACGUAGUUCUCUGGUUUGUUUACUAUGACCCAAGCCUCGUACAUAGCAGUCUUGUGUCCUUGUCUUUGGCUAGGAAGGACUUCUGCCUUCAAGACGCAAAACU
Nothobranchius furzeri (turquoise killifish) is the source of this 3358-nucleotide non-coding RNA. Lineage: Eukaryota; Metazoa; Chordata; Actinopteri; Cyprinodontiformes; Nothobranchiidae. The record is from RefSeq and is a predicted model, not a curated record.